AUAUUACUCCCUUCGUCCGAAAAUACUUGUCGAAGAAAUGGAUAAAGAAUGAUGUAUUUAGAACUAAAAUAUGUCUAGAUACAUCCAUUGCUCCGAUAAGUAUUUUCGGAUGGAGGGGGUACAUU
Non-coding RNA from Triticum urartu, 125 nucleotides. NCBI's taxonomy places the organism in Eukaryota, Viridiplantae, Streptophyta, Magnoliopsida, Poales, Poaceae. The record is from Rfam.